UGGGGAAUUUUGGACAAUGGGCGAAAGCCUGAUCCAGCAAUGCCGCGUGCAGGAUGAAGGCCUUCGGGUUGUAAACUGCUUUUGUACGGAACGAAAAAGCUUCUCCUAAUACGAGAGGCCCAUGACGGUACCGUAAGAAUAAGCACCGGCUAACUACGUGCCAGCAGCCGCGGUAAUACGUAGGGUGCGAGCGUUAAUCGGAAUUACUGGGCGUAAAGCGUGCGCAGGCGGUUAUGUAAGACAGAUGUGAAAUCCCCGGGCUCAACCUGGGAACUGCAUUUGUGACUGCAUGGCUAGAGUACGGUAGAGGGGGAUGGAAUUCCGCGUNUAGCAGUGAAAUGCGUAGAUAUGCGGAGGAACACCGAUGGCGAAGGCAAUCCCCUGGACCUGUACUGACGCUCAUGCACGAAAGCGUGGGGAGCAAACAGGAUUAGAUACCCUGGUAGUCCACGCCCUAAACGAUGUCAACUGGUUGUUGGGAAUUAGUUUUCUCAGUAACGAAGCUAACGCGUGAAGUUGACCGCCUGGGGAGUACGGCCGCAAGGUUGAAACUCAAAUGAAUUG
This 564-nucleotide ribosomal RNA is filed under the name uncultured bacterium. RNAcentral describes it as "partial 16S ribosomal RNA". It matches the Rfam family "Bacterial small subunit ribosomal RNA", at positions 355 to 912 of the family's 1533-position model. The record is from RNAcentral.